UGGGGGAUAUUGCACAAUGGGGGAAACCCUGAUGCAGCGACGCCGCGUGAGGGAAGACGGUCCUCUGGAUUGUAAACCUCUGUCUUCGGGGACGAAACGAGACGGUACCCGAGGAGGAAGCCACGGCUAACUACGUGCCAGCAGCCGCGGUAAUACGUAGGUGGCAAGCGUUGUCCGGAAUUACUGGGUGUAAAGGGAGCGUAGGCGGGCAGGCAAGUCAGGCGUGAAAGAUAUCGGCUCAACCGGUAGCUGCGCUUGAAACUGCAGGUCUUGAGUGAAGUAGAGGUUGGCGGAAUUCCUAGUGUAGCGGUGAAAUGCGUAGAUAUUAGGAGGAACACCAGUGGCGAAGGCGGCCAACUGGGCUUUUACUGACGCUGAGGCUCGAAAGUGUGGGGAGCAAACAGGA
RNAcentral lists this ribosomal RNA (406 nucleotides) under uncultured bacterium. RNAcentral describes it as "bacterial SSU rRNA". It matches the Rfam family "Bacterial small subunit ribosomal RNA", at positions 355 to 777 of the family's 1533-position model. The record is from RNAcentral.